AGCGGAUUAGCGGCGGACGGGUGAGUAACACGUGAGUAACCUGCCUUAGACAUUGGGAUAGCCUCGGGAAACCGGGAUUAAUACCAAAUAAAAUCAUAAUGACACAUGUCAUAACGAUCAAAACUCCGGUGGUCUAAGAUGGACUCGCGUCCCAUUAGCUAGUUGGUAGAGUAAAAGCCUACCAAGGCGACAUGGGUAGCCGGCCUGAGAGGGUGAACGGCCACAUUGGAACUGAGAAACGGUCCAA
RNAcentral lists this ribosomal RNA (247 nucleotides) under uncultured Eubacteriales bacterium. RNAcentral's name for it is "uncultured Clostridiales bacterium partial 16S ribosomal RNA". It matches the Rfam family "Bacterial small subunit ribosomal RNA", at positions 86 to 334 of the family's 1533-position model. Lineage: Bacteria; Bacillati; Bacillota; Clostridia; Eubacteriales. The record is from RNAcentral.